AGAGUUUGAUCCUGGCUCAGAACGAACGCUGGCGGCGCGCCUAAUACAUGCAAGUCGAGCGAGAAGGUGUAGCAAUACACUUGUAAAGCGGCGAACGGGUGAGGAAUACAUGGGUAAUCUACCAUCGAGUGGGGAAUAACCAGCCGAAAGGUUGGCUAAUACCGCGUACGCCUCCGGAUCUUCGGGUUCGGAGGGAAAGCCACACUGUGAGUGCGGCGCUCUUUGAUGAGCUCAUGUCCUAUCAGCUUGUUGGUAGGGUAACGGCCUACCAAGGCUUUGACGGGUAGCUGGUCUGAGAGGACGAUCAGCCACACUGGCACUGCGACACGGGCCAGACUCCUACGGGAGGCAGCAGUAAGGAAUAUUGCGCAAUGGGCGAAAGCCUGACGCAGCGACGCCGCGUGGGGGAUGAAGGUCUUCGGAUUGUAAACCCCUUUCGGGAGGGAAGAUGGAGCGAGCAAUCGUUCGGACGGUACCUCCAGAAGCAGCCACGGCCAACUUCGUGCCAGCAGCCGCGGUAAUACCAAGGUGGCAAGCGUUGUUCGGAUUCACUGGGCGUACAGGGUGUGUAGGCGGUUUGGUUAGCCUUCUGUUAAAGCUUCCGGC
RNAcentral lists this ribosomal RNA (606 nucleotides) under uncultured bacterium. RNAcentral describes it as "bacterial SSU rRNA". It matches the Rfam family "Bacterial small subunit ribosomal RNA", at positions 8 to 608 of the family's 1533-position model. The record is from RNAcentral.